AUGCAAGGGCCAGGAGUUCCUCAGUUCCAACCACAGAAUGCCUUACAACCGGAUAUGGGCUAUAACACAUUAGCCAACUUUCGAAUAGAAAAGAAAAUUGGUCGUGGACAAUUUAGUGAAGUUUAUAGAGCAACCUGUCUCUUGGAUGGAGUACAAGUACCUUUAAAAAAAAGUACAGAUAUUUGAUUUAAUGGAUGCCAAAGCACAUGCUGAUUGCAUCAAAGAAAUAGAUCUUCUUAAGCAAAUGUAAUAAAAUAUUACUCCUCAUUCAUUGAAGAUAAUGAACUAAACAUAGUGUUGGAACUGGCAGAUCUUGGUGACCUAUCCAGAAUGAUAAAGCAUUUUAAGAAGCAAAAGAAGCUAAUUCCUGAAAGAACUCUCUGGAAAUACUUUGUUCAGCUUUGCAGUGCAUUGGAACACAUGCAUUCUCAAAGAGUCAUGCAUAGAGAAUGAACCAGCCAAUGUGUUCAUUACAGCCACUGGGGUGGUAAAACUUGGAGAUCUUGGGCUUGGCCAGUUUUUCAGCUCAAAAACCACAGCUGCGCAUUCUUUAGUUGGUACGCUUUAUUACAUGUCUCCAGAGAGACUACAUGAAAAUGGAUACAACUUCAAAUCUGACAUCUGGCCUCUUGGCUGUCUACUAUAUGAGAUGGCUGCAUUAGAGUCCUUUCUAUGGUGACAAAAUGAAUUUAUACUCGCUGUGUAAGAAGACAGAACAGUGUGACUACUCACCUCUUCCUUCAUAUCACUAUUCAGAAGAACUAUGACAGUUAGUUAAUAUGUGCAUCAACCCAGAUCCAGAGAAGCGACCAGACGUCACCUAUGUUUAUGAUGUAGCAAAGAGGAUACAUGCCUGCACUGCAAGCAGCUAAACAUGCAAUAUCAUGAAAAGUGUAACCAAAGCAAUUUAAAGUAUUUUGUGCAAGUCAUACCUCCCCAUUUAUGUCUGGUGUUAAGAUUAAUAUUUCAGAGCUAGUGUGCAUUGAAUCCUUAACCAGUUUUCAUAUAAGGUUCACUUUGUACCAGUCACCUAAAUCACCUCUUUGCAACACCCAAAUGACUUUGGAAUAACGGAAUUGCAUGUUAGGAAAGAAAAUGAAACAUGAUGGUUUUGAAUGGCUAAAGGUUUUUAGAAUUACUUACAGUUUUCUGCUGAUAAAUUGUGUUCAGAUAGGCUAUCAGUGCCAAAUUGAAGGUGCAGCUUGGCACACAUCAGGGUAGACUCAGACCUGAGAAAAAGUAUCUGAACAUGUGACUGGUUUCUUUUUUAGUAAUUUAUGGACAUUAAGGUGGACCCACAAUUGUGAACUUUUGUCAUGAUUUUAUUUUUAAAUGUUUGAAGUACUAGUUUUAGUUCUUAAGAGUAGUUUUCAAAUAUAAUUCGUAUGAUAAAUGUAGACAUAAACUAUCUGAGAAACAUUUAAAACUCUUAGCUUAUACAUUCAAAAUACAACUAUUAAACGUGAAAAGAUUUGGGAACAAAAUGAGUCAGACACUGAAGAGUUCUUGGUUUUGUUUUAGUAUUUUUGAUAUUAUCUUUGCAUUGAAAUGGUAUAAAUGAAUCCAUUUAGAAAGUGGUUAAGGAUUUGUUUGGCUGUUGUGAUAAUAAUUUUUAAAGUGGCACAUUGCCCAAGGCUUUCUUUGUGUGAUUUUAUUAUUGU
Sapajus apella (tufted capuchin) is the source of this 1661-nucleotide RNA transcript. It is a transcript of the gene named serine/threonine-protein kinase Nek7 pseudogene, with no coding region annotated. The transcript has a single exon. Lineage: Eukaryota; Metazoa; Chordata; Mammalia; Primates; Cebidae. The record is from RefSeq and is a predicted model, not a curated record.